This 1446-nucleotide ribosomal RNA is filed under the name uncultured marine cyanobacterium. Its description in RNAcentral is "bacterial SSU rRNA". It matches the Rfam family "Bacterial small subunit ribosomal RNA". The record is from RNAcentral. Lineage: Bacteria; Bacillati; Cyanobacteriota.
GAGUUUGAUCAUGGCUCAGGAUGAACGCUGGCGGCGUGCUUAACACAUGCAAGUCGAACGAACCUUCGGGUUAGUGGCGGACGGGUGAGUAACGCGUGAGAAUCUGCCCUCAGGAGGGGGAUAACGGCUGGAAACGGCCGCUAAUACCCCAUAUGCCGCGAGGUGAAAUGAAUUUCGCCUGAGGAUGAGCUCGCGUCUGAUUAGCUAGUUGGUAUAGGUAAUGGCUCACCAAGGCAUCGAUCAGUAGCUAGUCUGAGAGGAUGAUCAGCCACACUGGGACUGAGACACGGCCCAGACUCCUACGGGAGGCAGCAGUGGGGAAUUUUCCGCAAUGGGCGCAAGCCUGACGGAGCAACGCCGCGUGAGGGAUGAAGGCCUCUGGGCUGUAAACCUCUUUUAUCAAGGAAGAAGAUCUGACGGUACUUGAUGAAUAAGCCACGGCUAAUUCCGUGCCAGCAGCCGCGGUAAUACGGGAGUGGCAAGCGUUAUCCGGAAUUAUUGGGCGUAAAGCGUCCGCAGGCGGCCCUUCAAGUCUGCUGUUAAAAAGUGGAGCUUAACUCCAUCAUGGCAGUGGAAACUGAGGGGCUUGAGUGUGGUAGGGGCAGAGGGGAUUCCCGGUGUAGCGGUGAAAUGCGUAGAUAUCGGGAAGAACACCAGUGGCGAAGGCGCUCUGCUGGGCCAUCACUGACGCUCAUGGACGAAAGCCAGGGGAGCGAAAGGGAUUAGAUACCCCUGUAGUCCUGGCCGUAAACGAUGAACACUAGGUGUCGGGGGAAUCGACCCCCUCGGUGUCGUAGCCAACGCGUUAAGUGUUCCGCCUGGGGAGUACGCACGCAAGUGUGAAACUCAAAGGAAUUGACGGGGGCCCGCACAAGCGGUGGAGUAUGUGGUUUAAUUCGAUGCAACGCGAAGAACCUUACCAGGGUUUGACAUCCUGCGAAUCUUUUGGAAACGAGAGAGUGCCUUCGGGAGCGCAGUGACAGGUGGUGCAUGGCUGUCGUCAGCUCGUGUCGUGAGAUGUUGGGUUAAGUCCCGCAACGAGCGCAACCCACGUCUUUAGUUGCCAGCAUUUAGUUGGGCACUCUAGAGAGACCGCCGGUGAUAAACCGGAGGAAGGUGUGGAUGACGUCAAGUCAUCAUGCCCCUUACAUCCUGGGCUACACACGUACUACAAUGCUACGGACAAAGGGCAGCAAGUUCGCGAGGACAAGCAAAUCCCAUAAACCGUGGCUCAGUUCAGAUCGUAGGCUGCAACUCGCCUACGUGAAGGAGGAAUCGCUAGUAAUCGCAGGUCAGCAUACUGCGGUGAAUACGUGCCCGGGCCUUGUACACACCGCCCGUCACACCAUGGAAGUUGGCCACGCCCGAAGCCGUUACUCCAACCCUUGUGGAGGAGGACGUCGAAGGUGGGGCUGAUGACUGGGGUGAAGUCGUAACAAGGUAACC